This is a long non-coding RNA of Meriones unguiculatus (Mongolian gerbil), 4228 nucleotides long. RefSeq lists it as uncharacterized. Lineage: Eukaryota; Metazoa; Chordata; Mammalia; Rodentia; Muridae. The record is from RefSeq and is a predicted model, not a curated record. The transcript has 4 exons.
AGAGAGGGUGAAAAUAGUCAAAAGUCAUUGUGUAAAAUUCUCAAAGACCUAGUGAACAGCAACAUCGACAGAGCAGGGCUGGUAAGAUGGUUUAAAUGGGUAAAGCAUGUGCUACAUAAGUACGAGGACCUGAGUUCAAAUCCCCAGAACCAGAUGUGGCAGCACACAUUUUUAAACGCCUUGUCUCAAACAAGGUGGACGGUGAGGUCCAAAGCCUGAGGUGGUCUUCUGCCCUCCACAUGUGCAUUGUGGCAUGUUCUGUAACAUACGUGUGCCUACUCACACAGAUGGGCACACACAUAUACACACAUACAGACACACAUAUACAAAUAUUUUUUUAAAAAAAUCACACAACAAUUUCUUGACCAAGAAAGAGGUUUCACAGGUGUCUCCUUCAUAAAUGUUUGGGGGACCGUAUACCCAGACACAGGUUUUAAGCCUGCAAUGAAAUGUAAACGCCUUCCAUGCUUCACUAAUAAAUAGCACUAAAAACUGGGAACUACACAAAAGGACACCAUUUCUGGAGCUCAACGUUGCUCCACAGUUCUUUCAGUCAUGACUGCUUGUCUGAGGGUUUGUUGUUUUUGUUUCAUUCUAUGAAUAGAGCAGCCCUAGCUCGUUUCUCUGCUGCCCGGCUGGAGACCUCUGGGCUUUCAGGUUUCAGGUUAGUUGGUUGGCUUGUUUGUCCACUGCGAGGACGGUGCUGGGCUGAGUGUCUCCCUGGACUCAUCUGUGACAUCAUGUCGAGUGCACAGUUGUAGGAGGAGUGUGGAACUGUCUGGAAGCAAGGUUUGGUUCCCUCUGUACCAAAUGUUACCAGAUCUCCCCAGACGAUGUUCAUAGAGUUUAAACACGCAACCCUUGUCUCCCUGCUUCUCCUUGUCUCCACCCCUCCUCUCUCCUCCAUCUUUCAUUUUUCUCUUUCCUGAGCUUUCUCUCCUUCCUCCCUUCCCCUUUCCACUGAAUAGGCCUGUUCUGUGGAAAGUUACUGCUGUGCACUAUGUCUUGGGGACAAGGAAAGGGAUGCUCCAGAAGGCUGACAGACCACGAUCACAAGACCAGUAGAUCACAGAGAGGCUGUCUUGCCUUCCCGUGAUUCCCUGAUGCAGAUGGCAUGGGAGGAAUGUCAACUCUGGGCGUGUCAAGUCCUUGGCAAUGGAGUACAGGAGUGUGACCCCACCAAGACUGGCAAAGGGAGGCUCAGUGUCCAGGUGCCGCUGGGUGAUGGCUUCCUUCAGCUGACCUGUCAAAGACACAGAGAAAAACCAUCAGAGAGUUCCCAACAGGCUGCAAGAAGACUUCACCUUAGGAGUACCUGCUGAACUGAGACAGAGAAGAAAAGGGCCAGAAUUGGGGAAACACUGGCAGGCACAGCUCCUACUGAGAACCCUUCUGCAUACAGCCUGUGUCAGGAAGAAGAACACAGAGGCAGGAGUUGGCACAUCAGCAUGAAUUUCACCUUGGGGUCAACCAUCUUAUGGUUUAAUCAUCUAAGCCUGUCAUUCAUAAUCUUUGCUGGGGCCCUGGUCUCUUCAAUAAUUCUAUUAUUAAUAAAGGAGGGAGGGAGGAUGUGGUCUUUUAAUAACUUAUAAGACCCUUUCUUCAAUCCAGUUUUUUUUUUAAGAGCUGUAUGAAAAAAAGCUGAUCACCAGGUAUGAAGCACACAUAAUUCUGGGUCACGUUAGUGAGGUUACAGUGUAUAGACUGAGGUCAAUGAGAGUGUCAACAGAGUUCUGUGGAACUGGGGCGGCAAUGUGCCAUUUGUUCUGGGUGCUUCCCUUACAGGAAACAUUUGCAAAACAGAAAAUGCACAGUAGAGGGGUAAGGAGGUGGCUCAGUUGAUAUGCUCCCUGAGAAGACACCAUACUCAGAACCCACCCAAGAAACCGGGCACAGUACCCAGCACCUUUCAUCCCCGCCCUGGGGAGUCAGGGAUGGCGUGUUCCUGGAGCUUGCUGGCCAGCCAGGCUAGCUCAAUCAGUGAGUUCCGGAUUCAGUGAGAUCCUGUCUCAAAAAAUACAAGGGGGAGAGUGACUGAGAAAGACACCUAACAGGAACCUCUGGCAUAGAUGGUGACCGGGAGGUGACCGGUGAGAGAUCAUGCUCUUGAGGAUUUUUGAGUUGACCUGAGAUGUUUUGACGGAGAAGAAAAGACUAGGAGGAAUGGGGAUGAAAGCUUCCUAGGAAAGUGAGCAGUGGUGUAUAGACAUUCUAUUCUGUUUAACUUGGGAGUGAGUGUGUAGGGAAGCCAAGUCAUAGAAUUGGCCAACUUGGGGGCUUGGUGUGAGGAAGGAACAGUUUACCAGGCGCACGGCCUGCAAAUGGACUGAGUGUUCUCAGGCAGCCCCAGUCUCCCAGCACAACAGCAAGGGCCUCUCAAAAGCACCAGGAAAGAGCAUUCUGUGGAUUGUUAGAGUGAAAAUUCCUAUCCUUAGAGGAUUUGGGACUCAGUGACUCUGGGUUGCCUCUGUCUCAAAAAAUCCCAAGGUUUGGGGCUUGAGACAUGGGUAGUUCUGGGGUUAGUGUGUUGCGAGACUCAACACACGUGUUAAAUUUCAGUGUAGUCUGUAUUGCUUGUCCCAAGCGGGAACUUCAUCAGGACUGUCGGGGGAGCCUGGGAGUCUCGCUGCCCCCUGCCUCUUGUAUUUCUUCCUGCACAUAAAGAACAUUCUCGAGCCCCACAGAGAAGAUGAACAGAGAAGGAGGUGUUCACAGGAGACCUGUUUGCUCAGGUGAUCCUAGGACGGAGAAGGACGGCAGAGCUCAUUCACUUCAAUUCCAACUUAAGAACCCAUCCUAAAGAACGCGUUAGAGCCCCUUUCCUAACCAGUUUCAUAGUGAAAUUGUAAAGAAUAAACUUAGGGGUCCACACCUGCUUGCCUUCCCUUUUCAGCACUCAGAUCAGCAUAAAAAAAAUGAUUAUUUCUGCUUGGCAGAGAGAAACCUUCACACCAGGAGGUGAUACCCUUUCCCCAGUCUGACUGCCCCUCCAAGUCAGGCGUCAUCAGCUCUUCAGUGAUCCCCGAGGUGGGGGGGGGGGGCACAGCUUCCAGGUAGGUGAUCACCCAGGGCUGUUGUCCCCAACCUUCCUAAUGCUGUGACUCUUUAAUGCAGUUCCUCGUGUGGUGGUGACCCCCAACCAUAAAGUUAUUUUGGUUGCUAUUUCAUAACUAAUUUUGCUACAGUUAAAUAUCAUAAUGUAAAUUGUAUCUGUAAAUAAUGACUGCAAAAUGUAAUCUGACAUGCAGGAUAGUUGAUAUGUGACCCCUUGGAAGGGUCAUGACCCACAGAUUGAGAACCGCUGACCUGGGGCUCCUGCACGGCUGCUCAUUGCUGUUCCAUGUCCUCACUGAGAACAUACAUACAGAGAGGAAGCCGAGGGCAUGUCUGAAGGAUAACUGCUCCCCAAUUCUAAGCAGGGAAAGGUGAAACAUUGGGAGCAUGUUGUGGCGGAGGAGUUGGGAGGAAACCUGGCUUGUUAUGAACUGCUGCAUUUUUUCAUGCGCAUACAGAGCUUUCUUUUCUUAAAGAAACAUAAUGGUUUAAUUCUAGAAAAUGAAGAUUUUUUAAAUUGUUUUCCUAUGCUGUUCCUCAACAUGUAAGUUUCAAAGCAGCACUUCUUUGAAUGGUAUUGUAUUAAGUCACUUGAUUUAAUUUAAAAAUUGAUCUAAUUUAAAAAAUAGGUGAUGGGGUUACUGACCUAAGUUUCAUUAAAAAAAUCAUUAAAUAUGUUUUAGCUUGGUAUUGGGACAGAACUUCCAGCAGUUUCUGGAAUGGCCCUAAACAUGCUUUUGCUCUUCUGUACUAUGCACAUAGGGGAAACCGCAUGCUCAACAGUGAUAACUAUAACACUUGAUCACUAUGGAAAAUGUUGAAGAUGCUCUCUAUCCCUCAGUGAAAAAUACCCAGGUGAGACUACUUUCCUAUGUAAAAAACAAAAAACAAAAAGCAAAACAAAACCCAAACAGUCGCAUUUUUCUCAUGAGCAUGCAAAUUUGCUGUUGACUUCAAUAAAUGGUAAAACUAUACGUAUACCAAAAUUGCUCUAAAAUACAUUUGUGUGCACGUGUAUGUCUGAGUGAGAGGGGGACACCUACACAGCUGACAAACCCUGAAUGUCUCCAACUCUCCAACAUCUUAACAGGGUAUCCACUGAACCUGCCUGACCAGUGAGCCCAGGGGUCUGCCUGUCUGUCUUUCUGUCUUUACCUUGGAGUGCUGGAACUUC